Molecule: transfer RNA, 68 nt
Filed under: Thienemanniella curva
Lineage: Eukaryota; Metazoa; Arthropoda; Insecta; Diptera; Chironomidae
Description: tRNA-Ser
Source: RNAcentral
GAAAUAAGAAGUUUCAAAAAAAAGCUGCUAACUUUUUCAUUUAAUGGUUAAAUUCCAUUUUUAUUUCU